AUAAUGGGUCAGCGACUUAUAUUCUGUAGCAAGGUUAACCGAAUAGGGGAGCCGGAGGGAAACCGAGUCUUAAUUGGGCGUUAAGUUGCAGGGUAUAGACCCGAAACCCGGUGAUCUAGCCAUGGGCAGGUUGAAGGUUGGGUAACACUAACUGGAGGACCGAACCGACUAAUGUUGAAAAAUUAGCGGAUGACCUGUGGCUGGGGGUGAAAGGCCAAUCAAACCGGGAGAUAGCUGGUUCUCCCCGAAAGCUAUUUAGGUAGCGCCUCGUGAAUUCAUCUCCGGGGGUAGAGCACUGUUUCGGCUAGGGGGCCAUCCCGGCUUACCAACCCGAUGCAAACUGCGAAUACCGGAGAAUGUUAUCACGGGAGACACACGGCGGGUGCUAACGUCCGUCGUGAAGAGGGAAACAACCCAGACCGCCAGCUAAGGUCCCAAAGUCAUGGUUAAGUGGGAAACGAUGUGGGAAGGCCCAGACAGCCAGGAUGUUGGCUUAGAAGCAGCCAUCAUUUAAAGAAAGCGUAAUAGCUCACUGGUCGAGUCGGCCUGCGCGGAAGAUGUAACGGGGCUAAACCAUG
Molecule: ribosomal RNA, 578 nt
Filed under: Salmonella enterica
Lineage: Bacteria; Pseudomonadati; Pseudomonadota; Gammaproteobacteria; Enterobacterales; Enterobacteriaceae
Also listed under: 2 other names
Description: partial 23S ribosomal RNA
Rfam family: Bacterial large subunit ribosomal RNA
Source: RNAcentral